GCCACAUUGAUUUGCAGCCCACACCUUGUCUGUCCUGCACUGCUUUUCAACCACCAGUCCUGUUUUCUGUAGAUGCUCGAGGAAGAAGUGAAGAUGGAAGCAGUGAAGAUAAACACCUCAAAGGACCAGUCUGCAGGUCUACAGCGACAAGGCGCCACCGUCAGUUUCCACAACGUUCACUACAAAAUUAAGCAAGCCGGAGG
Entelurus aequoreus (snake pipefish) is the source of this 203-nucleotide long non-coding RNA. RefSeq lists it as uncharacterized. Lineage: Eukaryota; Metazoa; Chordata; Actinopteri; Syngnathiformes; Syngnathidae. The record is from RefSeq and is a predicted model, not a curated record. The transcript has 3 exons.